AGGUUACUGCUAUCGGUGUUCGCGUAAGCCAUGCGAGUCAUAUGUUCGUAAGAACAUGGCGUACUGCUCAGUAACACGUGGAUAACCUGCCCUUGGGUCCGGCAUAACCCCGGGAAACUGGGGAUAAUUCCGGAUAACGCACAUAUGCUGGAAUGCUUUUUGCGUAAAAUGGAUUCGUCUGCCCAAGGAUGGGUCUGCGGCCUAUCAGGUAGUAGUGGGUGUAAUGUACCUACUAGCCUACGACGGGUACGGGUUGUGAGAGCAAGAGCCCGGAGAUGGAUUCUGAGACAUGAAUCCAGGCCCUACGGGGCGCAGCAGGCGCGAAAACUUUACAAUGCGGGAAACCGUGAUAAGGGGACACCGAGUGCCAGCAUCCUAUGCUGGCUGUCCGGGUGUGUAAAAUACACCUGUUAGCAAGGGCCGGGCAAGACCGGUGCCAGCCGCCGCGGUAACACCGGCGGCCCGAGUGGUGAUCGUGAUUAUUGGGUCUAAAGGGUCCGUAGCCGGUUUGGUCAGUCCUCCGGGAAAUCUGACAGCUCAACUGUUAGGCUAUCGGAGGAUACUGCCAGACUUGGAACCGGGAGAGGUAAGAGGUACUACAGGGGUAGGAGUGAAAUCUUGUAAUCCCUGUGGGACCACCUGUGGCGAAGGCGUCUUACCAGAACGGGUUCGACGGUGAGGGACGAAAGCUGGGGGCACGAACCGGAUUAGAUACCCGGGUAGUCCCAGCCGUAAACGAUGCUCGCUAGGUGUCAGGCAUGGCGCGACCGUGUCUGGUGCCGCAGGGAAGCCGUGAAGCGAGCCACCUGGGAAGUACGGCCGCAAGGCUGAAACUUAA
This 838-nucleotide ribosomal RNA is filed under the name uncultured archaeon. RNAcentral describes it as "bacterial SSU rRNA". It matches the Rfam family "Archaeal small subunit ribosomal RNA", at positions 21 to 859 of the family's 1478-position model. The record is from RNAcentral.